UAGUCCACGCCCUAAACGAUGUGUGCUAGGCGUCGGGGGGCUUGCCCUUCGGUGCCGGAGCUAACGUGUUAAGCACACCGCCUGGGGAGUACGGUCGCAAGAUUAAAACUCAAAGGAAUUGACGGGGGCCCGCACAAGCGGUGGAGCAUGUGGUUUAAUUCGACGCAACGCGCAGAACCUUACCAGCCCUUGACAUGGUGGUUACGAUUUCCGGAGACGGAUCUCUCAGUUCGGCUGGACCAUCACAGGUGCUGCAUGGCUGUCGUCAGCUCGUGCUGUGAGGUGUCGGGUUAAGUCCCAUAACGAGCGCAACCCCUAUUUCUAGUUGCCAGCACAUAAUGGUGGGGACUCUAGAGAAACUGCCCGCGCAAGCGGGAGAGGAAGGUGGGGGACGACGGUCAAGUCAUCACGGGCCCUUACGUCCAGGGGCUACACACGUGCUACAAUGGUAGAGACAGAGGGGCAGCCACUUGGGUGACAAGGGAGCUAAUCCUAAAAACUCUAAUCUCAGUUCGGGA
RNAcentral lists this ribosomal RNA (518 nucleotides) under uncultured bacterium. Its description in RNAcentral is "bacterial SSU rRNA". It matches the Rfam family "Bacterial small subunit ribosomal RNA", at positions 791 to 1298 of the family's 1533-position model. The record is from RNAcentral.